GGUUAAGCGACUAAGCGUACACGGUGGAUGCCCUGGCAGUCAGAGGCGAUGAAGGACGUGCUAAUCUGCGAUAAGCGCCGGUAAGGUGAUAUGAACCGUUAUAACCGGCGAUUUCCGAAUGGGGAAACCCAGUGUGAUUCGUCACACUAUCAUUAACUGAAUCCAUAGGUUAAUGAGGCGAACCGGGGG
This 189-nucleotide ribosomal RNA is filed under the name Salmonella enterica subsp. enterica serovar Derby. Its description in RNAcentral is "partial 23S ribosomal RNA". It matches the Rfam family "Bacterial large subunit ribosomal RNA", at positions 1 to 190 of the family's 2925-position model. RNAcentral also lists the same sequence under 1 other name. The record is from RNAcentral. Lineage: Bacteria; Pseudomonadati; Pseudomonadota; Gammaproteobacteria; Enterobacterales; Enterobacteriaceae.